RNAcentral lists this ribosomal RNA (785 nucleotides) under uncultured Pseudomonas sp. RNAcentral's name for it is "partial 16S ribosomal RNA". It matches the Rfam family "Bacterial small subunit ribosomal RNA", at positions 1 to 765 of the family's 1533-position model. Lineage: Bacteria; Pseudomonadati; Pseudomonadota; Gammaproteobacteria; Pseudomonadales; Pseudomonadaceae. The record is from RNAcentral.
AAACGAAUUCGCCCUUAGAGUUUGAUCCUGGCUCAGAUUGAACGCUGGCGGCAGGCCUAACACAUGCAAGUCGAGCGGUAGAGAGAAGCUUGCUUCUCUUGAGAGCGGCGGACGGGUGAGUAAUGCCUAGGAAUCUGCCUGGUAGUGGGGGAUAACGUUCGGAAACGGACGCUAAUACCGCAUACGUCCUACGGGAGAAAGCAGGGGACCUUCGGGCCUUGCGCUAUCAGAUGAGCCUAGGUCGGAUUAGCUAGUUGGUGAGGUAAUGGCUCACCAAGGCGACGAUCCGUAACUGGUCUGAGAGGAUGAUCAGUCACACUGGAACUGAGACACGGUCCAGACUCCUACGGGAGGCAGCAGUGGGGAAUAUUGGACAAUGGGCGAAAGCCUGAUCCAGCCAUGCCGCGUGUGUGAAGAAGGUCUUCGGAUUGUAAAGCACUUUAAGUUGGGAGGAAGGGCAGUUACCUAAUACGUGAUUGUUUUGACGUUACCGACAGAAUAAGCACCGGCUAACUCUGUGCCAGCAGCCGCGGUAAUACAGAGGGUGCAAGCGUUAAUCGGAAUUACUGGGCGUAAAGCGCGCGUAGGUGGUUUGUUAAGUUGGAUGUGAAAUCCCCGGGCUCAACCUGGGAAACUGCAUUCAAAACUGACUGACUAGAGUAUGGUAGAGGGGUGGUGGAAUUUCCUGUGGUAGCGGGUGAAAUGCGUAGAUAUAGGGAAGGAACCCCAGUGGCGAAGGCGACCACCUGGGACUAAUACUGACCCUGAGGUGCGAAAAGCGUGGG